GACCACCCCUGCGAUGGGUGUCCUAAGAGCCAGGGGGGGAAGAGGGGCUGGCUGUCAGUCCCCGCCUCCCGGGGGGUGCCUCCCGCCCCUACGAUGGUGGUUCCAAGAGUCUGGGGGGGAAGAGGGGCUGGCUUUCAGUACCCGCCUCGCGGGGGGUGCCUCCCCCAGGUACCUGCCCUGGGCAGAUUUGAGCUUUCUUCUUGGACACCUAAUACCCACAGUCCUCCAGGCUGAGGUAGAUUGCAAAUGACCUGCUUUCUUUCUGUUCCUGGGUGCCUUCGGACCCCUGUCGGAUAGUAAAUCCCAAGUAAGGUACCUGCCGUCAGCAGAUUUGAGCUUUCUUCUUGGACACCUAAUACCCACAGUCCUCCAGUAAAUCCCAAGUAAGGUACCAGCCGUCGGCAGAUUUGAGCUUUCUUCUUGGACACCUAUACCCACAGUCCUCCAGUGUUUUAGACGCCCAGCUGCACAACUUGAUUGCCUUACAAAUGACCUGCUUCCAGGAUGCGGAAAUUCCUAAUUUCUUCUGUGACCCUUCUCAACUCCCCCAUCUUGCAUGUUGUGACACCUUCACCAAUAACAUAAUCAUGUAUUUCCCUGCUGUCAUAUUUGGUUUUCUUCCCAUCUCUGGGACCCUUUUCUCUUACUAUAAAAUUGUUUCCUCCA
RNAcentral lists this long non-coding RNA (666 nucleotides) under Homo sapiens (human). Its description in RNAcentral is "novel transcript". The record is from RNAcentral. Lineage: Eukaryota; Metazoa; Chordata; Mammalia; Primates; Hominidae.